GAACUACUCCCUUCGUCCCAAAAUUCUUGUCUUAGAUUUGUCUAGAUAUGAAUGUAUCUAGUCACAUUUUAGUAUUUUGAUACAUCCAUUUCUAGACAAACCUAAGACAAUAAUUUUGGGACGGAGGGAGUACAUC
Molecule: microRNA precursor, 136 nt
Filed under: Hordeum vulgare
Lineage: Eukaryota; Viridiplantae; Streptophyta; Magnoliopsida; Poales; Poaceae
Description: microRNA MIR1122
Rfam family: MIR1120/MIR1122 microRNA precursor family
Source: RNAcentral